RNAcentral lists this unclassified non-coding RNA (379 nucleotides) under Hevea brasiliensis (rubber tree). Lineage: Eukaryota; Viridiplantae; Streptophyta; Magnoliopsida; Malpighiales; Euphorbiaceae. The record is from RNAcentral.
AAUAGUAUUAUCAGCACUCUCAUCACACACCUCUCUACUUGAUACAUCAUCAACGGGAUCUUGCACAGAACGCUCAUCCUUCUGGAAUUGAGAAGGUAAUUCCCUUUUCAGGGAACCACUCUGUCUCUUCCACAUUUCAGCUUUGGACUCCCAUCCUCGACCAUUCACCAUCUGCCUGUUCUCAUCCCAUUCAGCUCCACUAUAAAUGUGAGAUUCAUCCCUAAAGAUACCGUUAUUUCCAUCCCAUCCAUGCAAGUGAGAAGGGCUUGAACCAUCCAACAUAUUCUGCCACCCUAGUGAAUGCAUGUGACUGGAAAAUCUUUCAGCAUCAGGCAUCCGAUAAUGAAUUCCAGAGUGAUUGAUUUCAAGUGGCGGUCUG